AGUGGGAUAGCUGGGUCAAAUGGUAGUUCCAUUCCAAGUUUUCCAAGGAAUGUCCAUACUGCUUUUCGUAUUAGCUGCACCAAUUUUGCAGUCCCACCAGCAAU
RNAcentral lists this microRNA precursor (104 nucleotides) under Marmota monax (woodchuck). Lineage: Eukaryota; Metazoa; Chordata; Mammalia; Rodentia; Sciuridae. The record is from RNAcentral.